GAUGAACGCUGACAGAAUGCUUAACACAUGCAAGUCUACUUGAACUUCGGUUUGGGUGGCGGACGGGUGAGUAACGCGUAAAGAGCUUGCCUCACAGUUAGGGACAACAUUUGGAAACGAAUGCUAAUACCUGAUAUUAUGAUUUUAGGGCAUCCUAGGAUUAUGAAAGCUAUAUGUGCUGUGAGAGAGCUUUGCGUCCCACUAGCUAGUUGGAGAGGUAACGGCUCACCAAGGCGAUGAUGGGUAGCCGGCCUGAGAGGGUGAACGGCCACAAGGGGACUGAGACACGGCCCUUACUCCUACGGGAGGCAGCAGUGGGGAAUAUUGGACAAUGGACCAAAAGUCUGAUCCAGCAAUUCUGUGUGCACGAUGACGUUUUUCGGAAUGUAAAGUGCUUUCAGUUGGGAAGAAAAAAAUGACGGUACCAACAGAAGAAGUGACGGCUAAAUACGUG
Molecule: ribosomal RNA, 454 nt
Filed under: uncultured bacterium
Lineage: Bacteria
Description: partial 16S ribosomal RNA
Rfam family: Bacterial small subunit ribosomal RNA
Source: RNAcentral